GCUUUUCAUUAAUUAAUUAAUUAAUCUAAAGUUCAGAGCAAUUGAAUUUAUUUAAAAUAGUAACGAAUGAAUUUUUAUUUUAAAAUAAGAAAAGUGGGGCCGGCGCUGUGGCACAGCGGGUUAACACCCUCGCCUGAAGUGCCGGCAUCCCAUAUAGACACUGGUUAUACUCCCAGCUGCUCCUCUUCUGAUCCAGCUCUCUGCUAUGGUCUGAGAAAGCAGUAGAAGAUGGCCCAAGUCCUUGGGACCCUGUAUCCAUGUGGGAGACCCAGAAGAAGCUUCUGGCUCCUGGCUUCACAUGAGCACAGCUCCGACUAUUAUGGCCAUCUGGGGAAUGAACCAGAGGAUGGAAGACCUCUCUCGGUUUCUACCUCUCUUUGUAACUCUGAUUUUUUUUUCUUCAUUAACAAAUCUUUUUAUUAUUAUUAUGAGGAGAGAUAAAAACAGCAAAGCGCAGAUCAUGUACAGGAGCUGCAGCCAGGGGGCGCCCCAGGCCACGUGGGGGCUGCCCAGCUCCAAGGCACAGCUCCCCAGGAUGGGGAGCGAGCCUGUCAGUGGCAGAGGGCGAUGGUCUCCAUGUUGAGGAAGCGGAAGUGCAUUUUGGUCUCGAUGUUGAUGCCCUGCCAGAUCUUCAGGAAGUCCUCGAAGGUGAUUCCCUUCUACACUUGAUCGGGCUCCAUCUGCCCCACACACACGCUGGCUGCCUUCAUCAUGGCCCCGUCGGCUUCUCGAUGUGGGGGUUCCCCGAGAGCAGCUCCUCCGCCACAUCUCAGCUUCUCCUUCCGGGACAGUUCCACCUGCUCCUCGCCCAGGGUGGUGUCGAAGGGCCGGAAGUAGGACAUGAUGGUCAGGAAGUCCUCAAAGUUGAUCUCGGCCAUGCCGCUGGGCCCCUUACGCAGGUUCCUGUUGUCGAAGAAGGCACGGACGAUCUUGGAGCGGAUGGGGUUGAGCUCCAGGUCGGGGACACUGUUGAAGUUCUCCUUGCGGAUGAACUAAAUGAAAUAAAUCUUUUAAAAAAAAUUAAAAAUAAGAAAACUAUAAUUAUCCAGAAUUUGCCUUACAGUUAUUGAUGUGUAGCCUGGUUUCUAUUUUCAGUAUUUUGCUUAUGAUGGUUUUCUAAGACUUAAAAUUGCAGUCAAAUUAAUUGAAUAUAUUUUCAAAUAUAACAUAAAUGUAUAUUGGUAUGGUUUAAAACAGUUAAUGUGAAUAUUUAAGUCUCUAGUUGGUGUCAUUGACAUUUAUAAUAACUCAGAAGUUGAAGUUUGUAACUUUCGACGUGAUUGAACUUACAGACUGUAGUAAUCAGCUUUCAGUUACCACAACUAAAAUUUCUGAGAGGAGCUCUUUUGGAUGAAAGAAAGUUUAUUUCAGCAUACAGUUUUGGAGGCUCAUAGUCCUAUAUCAAGUGGUCCCACUGGUUGAUGAAGCUGGUGAAGCUGAAGCAUGGCACAGUGACUAUCAGAUGGUGAGGCAGGAAGAAAGGGGCAGGGAGCACUGUUGACUUACAUAGAUACCCUCUUGAGAAAAUUACCUUCCCAGGGAAAGCCACCAUUGGCCUAAACACCUGCCCCUAGGCCCACCCACGGACACCAUAAGUAGACCAAGUAUCCAUUCUUCAUUAACCAUUCACAUCAAUUCCUUAACUGUUAACAUCAGACUUUGAAGUUUAAAAUUAUGAGUGAUGAUUUGGAGAAUCAAAUCCUGUUCCCCCUAUAGCAUAGAAAAAAUCCCAGUGAGGAAGGAAUAACAAAAAGUGAAUCAAUUUCUGCUGAUUCUGUGCACAAUUUCUGCUGAUAAUUUGUUGGCUCUGAAGAUGAACAGGCUCAGAGAGAGACUCCUGCAAUCUGUACAGAAUGUACCAACUGGGAUACCAAAGAGCUGCUCAGGGAGUUCAGCAGCAGUGCAAUACCAAGGAGGAUGAGGAUGGAGGGCAAGACCUAGUGGGACUAGGGACAGUAUUGCAGGUAAGACUUCAGAGGGGCAUGGGCAGGGGGUAAGAACUGUGAACUAGUAGCAAAGCUAAGGUUGGGGAAAUUCCGUAAGGGCAGGUGUUGUAGGGCAGUGGGUUAAACAAUUGCUUGCAGCAGCCACACCCAAUGUCACAGUGCCAGUUAGAGUUUUGGCUCUUCUCCCUCUGAUCUAGCUUCCUGCUAAUGCACCUGGGAAGGCAGCAGAUGAUAGCCCAAGUUCUUGGGAAUCUGCCACCCAAUGGGAGACCUGGAUGGAGUUCCUGGCUUUUGGGUUCAACCUGAUACCCAGCCCCUACUAUCACAAGCAUUUGGAGAGUAUGCCUGUGGAUUGAUGAGCUUUCCUGCCCAGACUGUCAUUCUGCCUUUUAAGUAAUAAAUAAAUAAAUCUUUACA
Long non-coding RNA from Oryctolagus cuniculus (rabbit), 2363 nucleotides. The record is from Ensembl. Lineage: Eukaryota; Metazoa; Chordata; Mammalia; Lagomorpha; Leporidae.